AUUUGGCUUUGUAGUGGCCAGGUGGGACACAUGAUUCAGUCAUUGCGCAGAACAACAGUUCAGUUGCCCUUAACCUCCAGACGGGAGCUGUUGAGUAUGGAUGGCUUAUUGGAGACCGGGGCUACCCAUUAAAAACCAUGGCUGAUGACUCCCCUCACAAACCAACAAGAUGCAAGGUUUGCUACAUUGUCAAGGCUUGCAGUGUGCGCCACAACAUUACAUUCAAAAAUGGCCUUCCACUGAAUGAUCCACCCAGAUCCGAUGAGCCCAUGACUGACGGAGUGUUUCCCACCACCCAUAGCUCUGGAACUGAAGACAAGAGUCAAUAUCAUACAACGGUUUAAAGGUACCUG
Long non-coding RNA from Oncorhynchus gorbuscha (pink salmon), 353 nucleotides. RefSeq lists it as uncharacterized. The transcript is spliced from 3 exons. NCBI's taxonomy places the organism in Eukaryota, Metazoa, Chordata, Actinopteri, Salmoniformes, Salmonidae. The record is from RefSeq and is a predicted model, not a curated record.